GAUAACCUCGGGAAAUCGUGGCUAAUACCGGAUAUGAACUGUCACCGCAUGGUGGUGGUUGGAAAGAUUUAUCGGUGGGGGAUGGACUCGCGGCCUAUCAGUUUGUUGGUGAGGUAAUGGCUCACCAAGGCGAUGACGGGUAGCCGGCCUGAGAGGGCGACCGGCCACACUGGGACUGAGACACGGCCCAGACUCCUACGGGAGGCAGCAGUGGGGAAUAUUGCACAAUGGGCGAAAGCCUGAUGCAGCGACGCCGCGUGGGGGAUGACGGCCUUCGGGUUGUAAACCCCUUUCAGUAGGGAAGAAGCGAGAGUGACGGUACCUGCAGAAGAAGCGCCGGCUAACUACGUGCCAGCAGCCGCGGUAAUACGUAGGGCGCAAGCGUUGUCCGGAAUUAUUGGGCGUAAAGAGCUUGUAGGUG
This 421-nucleotide ribosomal RNA is filed under the name Brachybacterium sp. Its description in RNAcentral is "bacterial SSU rRNA". It matches the Rfam family "Bacterial small subunit ribosomal RNA", at positions 142 to 577 of the family's 1533-position model. Lineage: Bacteria; Bacillati; Actinomycetota; Actinomycetes; Micrococcales; Dermabacteraceae. The record is from RNAcentral.